RNAcentral lists this long non-coding RNA (906 nucleotides) under Cyanistes caeruleus (blue tit). RNAcentral's name for it is "lncRNA (ENSCCEG00000019460.1)". The record is from RNAcentral. Lineage: Eukaryota; Metazoa; Chordata; Aves; Passeriformes; Paridae.
GCUGCAAUUCCCACUCCACAGUGGCUAUCACAGACGCAGGCAAAAUCCCAGCUCUGCCAGCCAUCUCAGCUCCCAUGUUACGGUCCCAUUAUUUUGGCCCUACCCAUCUUGUUCUAUUUCCAGUCCCAGGACCCAGCUCCAACGUCCAUAUCACAGGCCUACAGUGAUUCCUGCACACAGAUCCUACAGUGGCUAUGACAUUAUCAGUCCCUAUCCCAGCCCACAGUGAUUUCAGCUCUAGCCCUGGAGAGCCCUUCCCAGCCCCAGUGAUUUCAGCUCUUGGCCCACAAGCUUUAUUUCACUGCAUGCUCUCUUCUUCCAGCUCCAGAUGCGUGUUUCUUCAAUGCUGCUGGCAGAAACUUCUCCAGCUCCAGAUGCGUGUUUCUUCAAUGCUGCUGGCUGAAACUUCUCCAGCUCCAGAUGCGUGUUUCUUGAAUGCUGCUGGCAGAAACUUCUCCAGCACCAGAUGCGUGAUUCUGCAAUGCUGCUGGCUGAAACUUCUCCAGGUACAAGGCGCAGGAUCUUCCUCCUGUCUCCAGCUCGGCAACAUUUCAGCUCCCACCCUUGGGCCUAGAAGCCCACCCCACAGUCAAUGUCCCCGCCCCACUGUGAAUUCAGCACCAGCGCUACAGUGGCUAUCAAAGACGCAGGCAAAAUCCCUAACGCGUUUCAGCUCCCCUGCUACGGUCCCAUUAUUUUGCCCCUACCCAUCUUGUUCUAUUUCCAAUCACAGGACCCAGCCCCAACAUCCAUAUCACAGGCCUACAGUGAUUCCAGCACACAGAUCCUACAGUGGCAAUCCCAUUAGCAGUCCCUAUCCCAGCCCACAGUGAUUUCAGCUCUAGCCCUGGAGAGCCCUUCCCAGCCCCAGUGAUUUCAGCUCUUGGCCCACAAGCUUUAUUUAAC